UUCGGACCGGGAUAACGCUGCCAACGCGGUGCUAAUACCGGAUAUUAUUCAGCUGCAGCAUUGUGGCAGAAUGAAAGGCUUCGGCCGCCAAAGGAUGAGCUCGCGUCCCAUUAGCUAGUUGGCGGGGUAACGGCCCACCAAGGCUUCUAUGGGUAGCCGAUCUGAGAGGAUGGUCGGCCACAUUGGGACUGAGAUACGGCCCAGACUCCUACGGGAGGCAGCAGUAGGGAAUUUUGCGCAAUGGACGAAAGUCUGACGCAGCAACGCCGCGUGGAGGAUGACGUUUUUCGGAAUGUAAACUCCUGUUGAGAGGGAAGAAAAGCCGAUUGGUCGGCCUGACGGUACCUCUCGAGAAAGCCCCGGCCAACUUCGUGCCAGCAGCCGCGGUAAUACGAGGGGGGCAAGUGUUGUUCGGAUUUACUGGGUGUAAAGGGAGCGCAGGCGGGAAAGCAAGUCAGAGGUGAAAUCCCCAUGCUUAACGUGGGUGCUGCCUUUGAUACUACUUUUCUUGAGUGUUGGAGAGGGUAACGGAAUUCCAGGUGUAGCGGUGGAAUGCGUAGAUAUCUGGAAGAACACCAGUUGCGAAGGCGGUUACCUGGCCAAAUACUGACGCUCAUGCUCGAAAGCAGGGGGAGCAAACAGGAUUAGAUACCCUGGUAGUCCCUGCCCUAAACGAUGGACACUAGGUGUUGGAGGAGUUAAUCCCUCCGGCGCCGCAGCUAACGCAUUAAGUGUCCCACCUGGGGAGUACGGUCGCAAGGCUGAAACUCAAAGAAAUUGACGGGGGCCCGCACAAGCGGUGGAGUAUGUGGUUCAAUUCGACGCAACGCGAAGAACCUUACCUGGGCUUGACAUGAGGUGGACCAUUCCCAGAGAUGGGAACUUCUGUAGCAAUACAGACUGCCUACACAGGUGCUGCAUGGCUGUCGUCAGCUCGUGUCGUGAGAUAUUGGGUUAAGUCCCGCAACGAGCGCAACCCCUGUUCUUAGUUGCCAUCGGGUCAUGCCGGGCACUCUAAGGAGACCGCCUCGAAUAACGGGGAGGAAGGUGGGGAUGACGUCAAGUCAUCAUGGCCCUUACGUCCAGGGCUACACACGUACUACAAUGGCAGGCACAAAGGGUCGCAAAGCCGCGAGGUGAAGCCAAUCCCAAAAAUCCUGCCUCAGUUCAGAUUGCAGUCUGCAACUCGACUGCAUGAAGUUGGAAUCGCUAGUAAUCGCGGAUCAGCGUGCCGCGGUGAAUCCGUUCCCGGGCCUUGUACACACCGCCCGUCAAGCCAUGGAAGUCGGAAGUACCCAAAGUCGUUUGUUUAACCGCAAGGAGAGCAACGCCUAAGGUAAAGCCGAUGACUGGGGCUAAGUCGUAACAAGGUA
Molecule: ribosomal RNA, 1373 nt
Filed under: metagenome
Description: bacterial SSU rRNA
Rfam family: Bacterial small subunit ribosomal RNA
Source: RNAcentral